Molecule: long non-coding RNA, 478 nt
Organism: Haliotis rubra (blacklip abalone)
Lineage: Eukaryota; Metazoa; Mollusca; Gastropoda; Lepetellida; Haliotidae
Exons: 3
Source: RefSeq, a predicted model, not a curated record
GUCAUGUGAAAGGAAUAUUCAGUGGUUGCUCCGUGCGACUCUUCAAAAAUGCUGAUCAACUGAACCCAGGAGGAUUAUUUAAAGCAGAGAAUCAAGCCUGGGCCAUACAAACCAGUGAUUGGUAUCACAAGCAACAAUUCAUCAGGAUCAAGUGACGAUGGAUAAAUCUCCCAUAAAAACAGAAAGUGCUGACUCCCACCCAGUGUGUUGUCUCAGAAUGACGCCUUUAACGCCUAGCAGUGUUGAUGUAGACAACGAAGGGAGUCCAUUGCUGUCUGAUGUGUCAGACAUCUUGGAAGAUGAUCUGUCUGGAAUGUCAGAAUUGUCAGACUUGGACGACUCCAUUGAAGAUUCUCUCAAAAGCAGCAGCUUUUCCCAACCCGAACGACUUCAAUUACAAAAAAAAUAUGCAAAGCUGAAAAUAAUGUACUCUAAAUUGAAAAACAAGAUGGAGAAACCAUCCAGUGAGUCAAAAUCA